RNAcentral lists this long non-coding RNA (597 nucleotides) under Mus musculus (house mouse). RNAcentral's name for it is "RIKEN cDNA 1110038B12 gene, transcript variant 1 (1110038B12Rik)". Lineage: Eukaryota; Metazoa; Chordata; Mammalia; Rodentia; Muridae. The record is from RNAcentral.
CUCUUUGUGCACCCGCCCACACGGUUUGCCGUGUUUUCACCCUUCUUUGUUCUCCACCGGUCUGGGCAGGGUCUGAGGACUCCGGAGAGCAAGGCAUGGGUCCGCCUCGUGCCGCAGGUUCCUGGCCCACGCCAGCCGUACCCAGUAGCACAAUGGGAUUUGAGGACACACGCCAGCUGCCUACACCUGAAGAAAGGGUGAGCUCUGAGGACUUCACAGGGGCCCCAUCCCCUCACCUAGAUGAGGGCUAACCUUGGAAUCCAGACAAAGGUGGAAGUGACCUAGAUGUGACCUGAAUGAGCUAAUCAUCUAAUGAGAGCCAGCCCUUUGUCCUGCCCACAUGAAGGGCUUUGCUGCUACGCACUGACAAGUUGGACGGCUUUUUAUUGCUUUGUUGCCAGUUAUCUGAACAUGAGAGGCUGUAAGGUGUAAUCUGCGAGCCCUGCGCCCAGACUGAACCAGGGCCUCCCUUGAACAUGAGUAUUAGACAAAUGAAAUAAGAACUUAUCUUGCCCAGACUAUAUAAUGGCUUGGAAAUGCAUAGUUUCCUGAACGAUCUCAAUAAAAUACUUUUAAAAGUACUUAAAAAAAAAAAAA